Molecule: ribosomal RNA, 253 nt
Filed under: uncultured bacterium
Lineage: Bacteria
Description: partial 16S ribosomal RNA
Rfam family: Bacterial small subunit ribosomal RNA
Source: RNAcentral
UACGUAGGGUGCGAGCGUUGUCCGGAAUUAUUGGGCGUAAAGGGCUCGUAGGCGGUUUGUCGCGUCGGGAGUGAAAACCCAGGGCUUAACCCUGGGCUGGCUUCCGAUACGGGCAGACUAGAGGUAUGCAGGGGAGAACGGAAUUCCUGGUGUAGCGGCGAAAUGCGCAGAUAUCAGGAGGAACACCGGUGGCGAAGGCGGUUCUCUGGGCAUUACCUGACGCUGAGGAGCGAAAGUGUGGGGAGCGAACAGG